This 253-nucleotide ribosomal RNA is filed under the name uncultured bacterium. RNAcentral describes it as "partial 16S ribosomal RNA". It matches the Rfam family "Bacterial small subunit ribosomal RNA", at positions 524 to 776 of the family's 1533-position model. The record is from RNAcentral.
UACGUAGGGUGCGAGCGUUAAUCGGAAUUACUGGGCGUAAAGCGUGCGUAGGUGGUUCGUUAAGUCUGAUGUGAAAGCCCUGGGCUCAACCUGGGAAUAGCAUUGGAAACUGGCGAUCUAGAGUGCGGUAGAGGGUAGUGGAAUUCCCGGUGUAGCAGUGAAAUGCGUAGAGAUCGUGAGGAACAUCUGUGGCGAAGGCGACUGCCUGGACCAGCACUGACACUGAGGCACGAAAGCGUGGGGAGCAAACAGG